Sarcophilus harrisii (Tasmanian devil) is the source of this 798-nucleotide non-coding RNA. The record is from the annotation of a RefSeq genome assembly. NCBI's taxonomy places the organism in Eukaryota, Metazoa, Chordata, Mammalia, Dasyuromorphia, Dasyuridae.
CAAAUGUGGUAUCUGAUUGGCUGAGGUCAUGAGGCUGAUCUCCAUCUUAGCAAACAGCCCCUUCAGAGGAAGCUCAUUUGGGAUUUUCAGAAAGUUUGGCUGUUUAAAAUGAAGGAAAAAGGGACAAAGAUUCUGCUUACUCUGUUAGGGAUCCUGUGGAUGCAAGUGACCUGGGUGAUUGGCCAACAGCCGGAGCAGAAUCCUCAGUCCAUGAGUAUCCAAGAGGGAAAGAACUUCACCAUAAGCUGCAAUUCUUCCAGCACUUUGACCUCCUUACUUUGGUAUAGACAAGAACCUGGAAAACAACCAGUUUUGUUGAUGAUCCUUGUUAAAAGCAAGGAAAUAAAGAGUCAGGGGAAAUUUAUUGCCCAGUUUGAUGAACAAAGGAAGCACAGUUUUCUGCACAUCAAAGCCUCCCAGCCCCAAGAUUCAGCCACAUAUCUCUGUGCUUCGAGGCACAGUGUUCCACAGGUGCCCACAACUUCUACACAAACUCUGCAGCUGAGGCUCCAGCAACCUCCUCCUCUCUUCCUUUUACUCUUUGCAUAGUUUUUACAGUGAGUGCCAGAACUCUCAGCCCUUUACAGUAUCAUUGCCUUCCUACUCUAUGAAAGUGAGAAAAGCAAUAUCACCUUUCCUGUUUCCCUGCUCCUUUUCCAUAAUGAAGGACAAACAAGAACAACAACAAUCUACUACCCGGCCUGGUUUCGGCACUGUGGAACUAGAUGAGGAUAGGCUCCUGGGAUAAGCUAAUCACUUCUAAAUUCAUUGUCAUGCAGGAAAAGAUAAUGACCAGUG